GCGCCGGUUGCUCUGGGACAGAUCUGCGGCUUUGGGCUGCAGGGCUAUGUGAUGGCGUUGGAUGCGCUGUCGGCGCA
RNAcentral lists this transfer RNA (77 nucleotides) under Ruegeria atlantica. Its description in RNAcentral is "tRNA-Gln". Lineage: Bacteria; Pseudomonadati; Pseudomonadota; Alphaproteobacteria; Rhodobacterales; Roseobacteraceae. The record is from RNAcentral.